Molecule: long non-coding RNA, 271 nt
Filed under: Carica papaya (papaya)
Lineage: Eukaryota; Viridiplantae; Streptophyta; Magnoliopsida; Brassicales; Caricaceae
Description: long non-coding RNA (CPAP_LNC016360)
Source: RNAcentral
UUUAAUCCCAAUUAAAUCGCGAUCGAACGGUCCAGAUUUAAUCUUGAUGGACGGUUGAGAUUAAAAGGCAAAGGGUAUAAAUAACUCCACCCACACCUGACCACAAAAACCCUAGCCGCCAAUGCCUCGCCAGAGAAGAAGAACCCGACGCCGGAGGAGCCGGCCGCCGCCACCUGCCGCCGCACCGGGGAAGUUUUCGACCGCUGAUCGAUGUAAAUUUUCUCCCACUUGCUCGUUUUUUGAUGUUGAGUCCGCCUAUGGCCAAACCGGA